GGUUAUCUCGCCUCCCUGUCACGGAGGAGAUCGUCGGUUCAAAUCCGUCAUGGACCG
This 57-nucleotide transfer RNA is filed under the name Ligilactobacillus equi DPC 6820. Its description in RNAcentral is "Lactobacillus equi DPC 6820 tRNA". It matches the Rfam family "tRNA", at positions 17 to 71 of the family's 71-position model. Rfam says of the family: Transfer RNA (tRNA) molecules are approximately 80 nucleotides in length. Their secondary structure includes four short double-helical elements and three loops (D, anti-codon, and T loops). Lineage: Bacteria; Bacillati; Bacillota; Bacilli; Lactobacillales; Lactobacillaceae. The record is from Rfam by way of RNAcentral.